AAUCUUUGACGCAAAUUGCGCUCUUGGGUAGCCCUAGGAGCACGCCUCUCUCAGUAUCGGUUCAACAACCUCUCAGCAGCGUUCUUAUUCAUAUUUUAGGAAACGUGUUGGCUGGAUAAUGAGAGUCUGAGUGCCUUAAUACGACUCAGUCUCUUUAAAUACAUUGAGUGAGUAUCCAUCACAUGCCUACGCAUUCGACACUCGUUUAACGGGUGUCGAGCCAAGUCUCUGACUGGUCUGCUUUUAAGGGAAGUGACGUGAAUACUGGCCCUCUGUGGUCUUUUAAAAACAUUUACGUGUAACUUCUCCUUUUUAGUGACUAUUCCAAAGGUCUAGGACUUCUGGUGUCGUUUGGGAGCAGGUGGUACUUCGCGAUAAGCGGCGCAUAGCUGCAAUCGACUUUUUCAAUUUCUAAUUAAUUAAGAAGUCUGAAUUUUGAUCUGAGAUGAAGCGAGACAACCCCCUGAAUUUAAGCAUAUUAAUAAGGGGAGGAAAAGAAACUAACAAGGAUUCCCUUAGUAACGGCGAGUGAAGCGGGAAGAGCUCAAUUUGAAAAUCGUCUACCUAAGCGGGUCGACGAGUUGUAGCCUAGAGACGUACUAUCAGCUGGAACCUGGGUAUAAGUUCUUUGGAAUGAGGCAUCAUAGAGGGUGAGAAUCCCGUAUAUGACCCAAAGCUUUCAGCGUACGAUGUAUGUUCAUCGAGUCGAGUUGUUUGGGAUGC
Molecule: ribosomal RNA, 723 nt
Filed under: Sandona erratica
Lineage: Eukaryota; Cercozoa; Glissomonadida; Sandonidae
Description: eukaryotic LSU rRNA
Rfam family: Eukaryotic large subunit ribosomal RNA (bases 437-723)
Source: RNAcentral